RNAcentral lists this ribosomal RNA (252 nucleotides) under uncultured bacterium. Its description in RNAcentral is "partial 16S ribosomal RNA". It matches the Rfam family "Bacterial small subunit ribosomal RNA", at positions 524 to 776 of the family's 1533-position model. The record is from RNAcentral.
UACGUAGGUGGCGAGCGUUGUCCGGAAUUACUGGGUGUAAAGGGAGCGUAGGCGGGAAUGCAAGUUGAAUGUGAAAUCUACCGGCUCAACCGGUAGCUGCGUUCAAAACUGUGUUUCUUGAGUGAAGUAGAGGCAGGCGGAAUUCCUAGUGUAGCGGUGAAAUGCGUAGAUAUUAGGAGGAACACCAGUGGCGAAGGCGGCCUGCUGGGCUUUUACUGACGCUGAGGCUCGAAAGCGUGGGUAGCAAACAGG